This is a long non-coding RNA of Portunus trituberculatus (swimming crab), 5626 nucleotides long. RefSeq lists it as uncharacterized. The record is from RefSeq and is a predicted model, not a curated record. The transcript has 9 exons. NCBI's taxonomy places the organism in Eukaryota, Metazoa, Arthropoda, Malacostraca, Decapoda, Portunidae.
UUCUGAACACGAACCUAUAGUCUCGCAUCUUCCUCCAGGCUGGUUCACCUCCGCGCGGCCCACUUCACGACUGGCGGCGAGAGAGAGAGGAAGAGGUGGCGGAGUGCUGUGGCGUGGCGCAGAGGGAGACGCUGAAGGAGCAAGUGGAGGCAGUUCUGAGAUGUCCCCACCACAGCUUCCCUGAAUAGCCCCACCAGACUACAAGAAUCUCUACAUUGGUUUUCAGUCUGGUACUACCUUAGGCACGACAAGAGUUCUCUUUCAUACUAAGGUAGUAAAGCUACUGUGGGAGUGAAGGAGUUGUGGCAGAAAGGAGAGAUUGACUGAUGAGCGAGCCACUUCCAAGACUUACGACAGCAAAAAGUUUUCUCUCCUUUGGCUUGAGAGAAAGGUUCCCUCCUUGCUAAGUCACCAUGAAGAUUGGCAGGCAUCACUCAUAACCUUUCAAGUGUGGUGCUGAGUGAUCAGGAGUAUGCAAGGAGUUCCCUCACUCACCUUUCUUGUCAAGGAUCACCACAAGCCCACACCCUACCAUCAGGCCAGCCUCAAGAAAAGUGUAUGUCUCCUACUGCUGCAUCUUCCGAGGCCCCUCCAGCAGUGGGUGUGUGGAGAGGCAAGUGGAGGAUUUGUGCAGCUAGCAGAGUGGUGUAAGCCUUCAUGUGGAGUGCUGCGGCAACAAAACAAGCAGGACCUGGAGUGCUGCAGCAAGAAAACAAGCAGGUCCUGCAAGCCUGGUGCCACACAGUAGUACAUCAGCUGUCUGGACUCUGGUGUAAUCGGUGAAAGUGUCAACAGAUACAAUGGGAAAACCUGUCAGAUACAUUGCUCUGUAAUCUUUGCAUUGAAAUAUGCUGAUAGAAUGGAAUGAAUGAAUAUACCAGAAGGAACUGUUACCACCAAUAUACUCCAAAGUCUUGUAUAUAAAACAGUUCAGCUUGUACUACAAUUUCUACAUACUGGCAGUUCUGAGAUGUCAACACAGCUUCCCUGAAUAGCCCCACCAGACUACAAGAGCUUCCCUGAAUAGCCCCACCAGACUACAAGAAUCUCUACAUUGGUUUUCAGUCUGGUACUACCUUAGGCACAACAAGAGUUCUCUUUCAUACUAAGGUAGUAAAGCUACUGUGGGAGUGAAGGAGUUGUGGCAGAAAGGAGAGAUUGACUGAUGAGCGAGCCACUUCCAAGACUUACGACAGCAAAAAGUUUUCUCUCCUUUGGCUUGAGAGAAAGGUUCCCUCCUUGCUAAGUCACCAUGAAGAUUGGCAGGCAUCACUCAUAACCUUUCAAGUGUGGUGCUGAGUGAUCAGGAGUAUGCAAGGAGUUCCCCUCACUCACCUUUCUUGUCAAGGAUCACAGCAAGCCCACACCCUACCAUCAGGCCAGCCUCAAGAAAAGUGUAUGUCUCCUACUGCUGCAUCUUCCGAGGCCCCUCCAGCCGUGGGUAUGUGGAGAGGCAAGUGGAGGAUUUGUGCAGCUAGCAGAGUGGUGUAAGCCUUCACGUGGAGUGCUGCGGCAAGAAAACAAGCAGGUCCUGCAAGCCUGGUGCCACCACAGUACAUCAGCUGUCUGUUUGCUGUGUGCCUGCAAGCCUGGUGCCACCACAGUACAUCAGCUGUCUGUUUGCUGUGUGGACUCUGGUGUAAUUGGUGAAGUGUCAACAGAUACAAUGGGAAAACCUGUCAGAUAUAUUGCUCGGUGUUUAUCUCCUGCUGCUGGUGCAUCCAUCUUCUAAGGCCCCUCCUGCUGUGUGUUACUUAUGCAGUCAGUAGAGCAGUGUUUUAGCAUGGUGUGGAGUGCUGCAGCAACAUAACAGUGAAGUCAUGCAAGGCUGAUACCACCACAGCACAUCAUCUGUCUGUCGGCUCUUGUGUAAUCCGUAGAAAAAUAACAUCAGUUAUGACAAGCAAGUCAAGAUAUAAUGUGAAAACCAAUGAAAGAUGCAUUGCUCCAUUAUUUUUGCAGUAAAAUUUGAUGGUGAAAGAUUGAAUGAAUAUAGCCGUCUGCCUGUUUGUAUAGUUUAGACAAAAUUUGCAAACAUAACUAACAUGUAAGUUAAGUAAAAAUAUCUGUUGGUACAGAAAGUUUGUUGCCCUGAGAAAAAAAAUGCAUUGAUCCGUAAAUAUGACCAGAUCACCUUGCAUGUGCACCUUGCCACACAAACAACUUCUUAGGACUCUGCAUACGCAGAGUGAACCUAUGUGCAGGUUCCACCUAAAAUUAGUCAUGUAUUUGGGUCAAUACUGGCCUUUUUCCCUCAGAUUUUUCUACAUAAAUGUUUUUACAUGUUUCUUGUACUACUGUAGAAAUAAAACUAUAUAACCCCAUUAAAAACAACAGACAGCUUAUACAAAUUUCUACGUACUGGUUGGUAGAUUCCUUCACUCUGUGGUUAUCACCAAAUUUUAGUGUAAAGAUUACAGAGCAAAGUAUGUAUCUGGUUUUCACAUUGUAUUUUGACACUUCCCUGACACUUUCACUGAUUACACCAGAGUCUACAGAGAGGCAGCUGACUUGCAGGACUUGUGUUUUGUUGCCGCAGCACUCCAUGCGAAGGCUUACACCGCUCCUCUGGCUGCACAAAUCCUCCAUUUGCCUCUCUACAUACCCACCACAAGACUUCAAACACAGCAGGAGGGGCCUCAGAAGAUGCAGUAGCAGGUAGGAAGUAAUUGGUAAAAGGAGACAAACACCCACAAUGGAAUUAUGCAACUUAAAAGGGAAAAUAGGUAUUAAUACGAUAAUUCAAAAAUUACAUGCACACAAAUGAAAUAGAAUGAUACAAAAUUUUGGAAAAUAGAGGUACAUCAAAACUCAAAACUAUAUAAUGUAUUUGAGGAGAUAUAAGGCAUUCAUUUUUUGCAUACAUAUAACAAAAAAUAGUUGAAUUGAUUCAAUUGAAAUAAUUUUUGGCACAACUUGGAUGGUGUCCAACAAGGGAAGCAUGACAAUCGAGCUGUGACGUCCACUAAUCCACUGCCUCCACACUCCUGUCUGUCCCUACCCUCCUCCACAUCUUCCUCUCCCUCUCUGGAAAAUACUGGCACUGCUAAGUUUUAUAUAUGUAGAAUUGAGGCACUCUAUGUGGCAGUGUUUUGUGUAAUUCAUGUAUGAUAGUUGAAGUGAGAAGAGUAGAAGCAAGUGGCUAAUGAGAACCAGUGUGAUUAAUAGUUGACUAUGGAUGCCAUCAUCAUUAAUCCUUGAAGAUGAUAGUGAUGAAGACGACCUAUUCUUGGAUAAUGAUGAAAUAAAAAAUGGAGCCGAGUUGUUUGUAUACAUCCUUAAUUUGUUGAGAGGGAGGGAGAGGAGAGGAGAGCGUGGAGGUAGUGAUUGAGUGGACGCCACCACUCCAUCAUGGUUCCCUUGUUUGAUUCGCUGUUGUCAUGGUUCCCUUGUUUGAUUCGCUGCUCAGCUGAGUUAGCUAAUGAGGGCUUAAUUAAACCUUAAUUGGUAGAGUAAACACUUUAAGGAACCACAUUUGGCAAUGUACGAUGGUGUGAAAAAUUAAUAUUUAUUUGGAAGACAAAUGUGAAAAACAAUGCCUCACUACCUCUGAAAUGCAUAGUAGAUAAUUUACUUAGAAACCAGAGGUUAUGUGCCUUCUGCUAAGCAAAAGUUGACAUGUUAGCAUAGAACUGAAGUCAAUGAGGAUGGAUAUAGAGGGGGACUGAAUACAGAAAAUAGAAAUGAUGAAUAAGAGUUUCAAGAAAAUCUUUAUAAGGGAACAGGGAUUUCUCAGACCACCAACAUAAUAAAAAACAGAACACUGAUGGACACUCAGUGAACAAAACAGGAAGCUGGAGAGAUCACCAAGAAUCUGGAUGUGGAGGAAAGCAACAAGACAGGCUAGUGUCUAGAUUGAUACAGAGUGCAGCAACCAGCUUACAAAUACGUCACACAACAUCACACUUGCCUCCAUCACUAAGAACAGCUGUCCAGGACUGGAGGAGGGGAAACAAGGUGCCCAUACUUAAGGAGUGGACAAUCAAGACUCACGACAUUUACAGACCAGUUUGGCUGAUAAGUAUAAUAAAACUAUCAAAGAUCAUAAAAACAAAUUAACCAAAUAUUUUAAAGAUAAUUAAAUUGUUGCAAAAUGGCAAUAUAGAUUCAGAAAAGGAAGGUUUUGUUUAAUAAAUAUGUUGUGUUGUGUUACUCAAAAGUGAUUAAGCACACAAGGAGGCAUGCAGAAUACUGAGACCAACAACCAUGACGACACGAGUUGAGAGACAUUCCCCAUGAAAAAGCAGGAUUGGAAACACUGGAUAGGGAAGAUUUGUGUGUGUGUGUGGAAUGAAACAGAAGCAAGAGGUCAUGGGAAGGAACUUAAACCAAUCACCUGCAGAAGAAUGUCCACAUUGAAGUCAAGCUGCUCCUAUAGUACCAAGUAGUGGACUGGUGGGUGAAGUGGUCUGCAAAAGGAGUAUUCAUUAAUAGUAGUUAUAGACUCUGGAGAGUAUGAGUUUAACUUACCCCACCCAACACACACACACACACACACUAAUUGGUCACUCAAACAGGCAUUUUUUUUUUCAUUUCACAAACAUUUAACUCCCUUUAGCAGUGCGUCAACAUUGUUCCUACAUCCUGAAACACUCCACAGCCCUUCUCUAUCAACUUUCUCUUUUCUAAAUCCCAGAAACCUCAUAACUCGCCCUCAUCCUUCACCAAACACUUGCCCUCACACACAUCUGUCAAACACCCAUGCCAUGCAUCCUUCCUUCACAAGUCCCUCUGUCCAACACUCUUCUGGACAGUUCUAUUGUUUCUGUGGUAAAUAGUCACUGUUCAUCCAAGUCUAUUAACAAUGUUCCUCAGAGUUCUGUCAUGUCACCCACUCUCUUCCUAUUAUUCAUCAAUUAUUUUAAACCAAACUACUCCAACCCACUCCUACACUUAUCAUAUCACCCUACACUUCUCCUCCAUGUCUUAUCAUAGACGACCAACCCUUCAGGAAGUAAGCAGAUCAUGAAGGGACGCCACAGAAAGUGAGACUUCUGAUCUCUAAAACACAAUUCCUCCAUCAAUCAACUCAACACAACCUUCCAAACAACUAACCUCUCUUCUUCAGACACUCAACUGUCUCCAUCUACACUGAGUAUCCUCAAACUGUCCUUUUACUUUAAUUUAAACAGGAAACUUCACAUCUCAUCUCUCGGAAAAACAACCUUUAUAAAAUUAGGUGUUCUGCAUUGUCUGUAUCAAGUUUCUAUCAUCCCCUUCAGCAGCUAACUCUGUACAGUCCAUGGUUCUCUAUUUUUUCAAAUCAUUAUUAAUAUUGUUCUUUGCUAGUUCCCCUCCUAUAUAAAAAUAAGACUGGUAAAUUUGGCUUCAAUUUAGACCUAUCAAUUACUAUGUAAUCAUUGUGCUACAUAUCAUGAAGGAAAAUUUUUUUUUCCCUUACUUUGCUUGGUGUGUGUUGGCACACUUAGUGGAGCUCACCAGCAAGAACAGUCUUGGAUCCUUUUCCCUUUAGUCUCUUGGACAGUAUUUCUGCAUUGUACAGAUCUGAAACAAAACAAUGCAUUGUUACACACAGCUUUAAUAUGUAUCUGCAUUAAAACUGUAAACACAUGAACUAAACUUGUAUGAACAAAUAAAAAAACCCUGAUGGUACAGGUUAAGCCCA